This 46-nucleotide non-coding RNA is filed under the name Schistosoma margrebowiei. The record is from RNAcentral. Lineage: Eukaryota; Metazoa; Platyhelminthes; Trematoda; Strigeidida; Schistosomatidae.
AACUAUCUGACGAGUCCCAUAAUAGGACGAAACGGCCAUCCAAUGU